CCCUACGGGGGGCAGCAGUGGGGGAUAUUGCACAAUGGGGGGAACCCUGAUGCAGCGACGCCGCGUGGGUGAAGAAGCGCCUCGGCGCGUAAAGCCCUGUCAGCAGGGAAGAAAAUGACGGUACCUGAAGAAGAAGCCCCGGCUAACUACGUGCCAGCAGCCGCGGUAAUACGUAGGGGGCAAGCGUUAUCCGGAUUUACUGGGUGUAAAGGGGGCGCAGACGGCGAUGCAAGCCAGGAGUGAACGCCCGGGGCCCAACCCCGGGACUGCUCUUGGAACUGCGUGGCUGGAGUGCAGGAGGGGCG
Molecule: ribosomal RNA, 305 nt
Filed under: uncultured bacterium
Lineage: Bacteria
Description: partial 16S ribosomal RNA
Rfam family: Bacterial small subunit ribosomal RNA
Source: RNAcentral